UUGCGGAAAACACGCGAACGUGCGCGCGGGAGUCAAUGCUUUCUCUUCCUUCUGGUAGCUGAACGGUCGUAUCGUUUUACGUUUGAAUGAUGUAACCACCUGUCGAGAGCUCAUCGUCUGAACAGGUUGAGGAUUUUACAUUUCUAUUUAUGCUCCGUGGAGUCAAGAACGACUGGUCUGUAUACAUUCAAAUAAUCACCCUCCCCUUCUUCGGACUGCACUCUUAGCGUGUGUGUCUGUGUGCGAGGAUAUUGACUUUCUCGCGUUCGCCCGUGCAACACUUGAAAUCAACAGUGACGGCUCAAUACAGUGCAAAGGGAAAUAUCGUCAACGAGAGCAAAUCUGUGGAGUUCCACAGAAGUGGGGAGUGAAACUGCAUUUUCCACCUCAGAUUUUUCAACCAUGGCUGCGAAACUCAACCCUAAUGUCCUGUACGUUCGGGAACCCAGAGAGUCUCGCCCAGGACAUGAUACAGACCGACUAGCACCGGCAGAAGCUGCCGAUGAAUCAUCUGACAGUGAUGGGGAACAGGAGGAAACCUCACACAAGCUCAUCAGAAAAGUGUCCACCUCUGGGCAAAUUCGUGCAAAGAGAAGUGUGAAGGAGGGACUCCUGCUCAAACAGACCAGCUCCUUCCAAAGAUGGAAGAGGAGGUACUUCAAGCUUCGAGGACGGACUUUGUACUACGCCAAAGACUCCAAGUCUCUAAUAUUUGACGAGGUAGACCUCUCAGAUGCCAGCAUGGCGGAAACCAGCACCAAGAACAUCAACAACAGCUUCACGGUCAUCACCCCUUUCAGGAAGUUGAUGUUGUGUGCUGAGAGCAGGAAGGAGAUGGAAGACUGGAUCAGCGCUCUGAAGUCUGUGCAGAAGUGGGAGAGUUACGAGUUCAACAUGGAGCACUUCUCCGGGAUGCACAACUGGUACGCCUGCUCUCACGCCCGCCCCACCUUCUGCAACGUGUGCCGAGAGGCUCUGCCGGGGGUCACCUCUCACGGCCUGUCUUGUGAAGUCUGCAAGUUCAAGGCCCACAAGCGCUGUGCUGUGCGGUCUACCAACAACUGCAAGUGGACCACGCUGGCAUCAAUCGGGAACGACAUAAUCGAGGAUGAGGAGGGGGUUUCCAUGCCGCACCAGUGGAUGGAGGGAAACCUUCCCGUGAGCGCCAAGUGCAGGGUGUGCGACCGCAACUGCGGCAGCGUGAGGCGGCUCCAGGACUGGCGUUGUCUCUGGUGCAGGGUCAUCGUACACAACAGCUGUAAGGAACACAUGGGGAAGCGCUGUCCCUUAGGCCAGUUCAAGGUCUCCAUAAUCGCUCCCCCUGCACUCAACAGCAUUGACUCUGAUGGGUUCUGGAAAGCUGCUAACCCGCCCUGCUCCAGCCCACUGCUGGUUCUGGUCAAUUCCAAGAGUGGGGAUAACCAAGGGGUCAAGUUCCUGCGCAAGUUCAAGCAGCUGCUGAAUCCGGCCCAGGUGUUCGACCUGAUGAAUGGCGGUCCGCAGCAGGGGCUGCGUCUCUUCCAGAAGUUUGCGAUGUUCCGGAUUCUGGUGUGUGGUGGGGAUGGCAGUGUCGGCUGGGUGCUGUCAGAGCUGGACAAACUUGGGCUGCACAAGCAGUGCCAGUUGGGUGUUCUUCCUCUGGGCACUGGGAAUGACCUGGCGCGGGUACUGGGCUGGGGAGGGCUCUGUGACGAUGAUGCCCAGAUACUGCAGAUCCUGGAGAAACUGGAGAGAGCCACUACUAAGAUGCUGGACAGGUGGAGCGUGAUGACAUACGAAGUUCCCACAAAACACUCCCCUCCAGUGGUGAAGGUGGAUGACACAGGGGAUGGCAGUCUCCAGAUACAGAUGGCCCUGUAUGCUGAUUCUGUGGCCUCCCACCUGACCAAGAUUCUGGACUCAGACAAGCAUAGUGAUGUCAUCUCCUCAGCUAAGUAUUUGUGUGGGACAGUGAAUGACUUUGUGUCAGAGGUGGGGAGGACAUACGAGAGAUCAACGGAGAACAGGGAGGAGGCUGCAAUCAUGUCUAAGAAGUGCGCUACGCUGAAUGAGAAGCUGGACUCUCUGGUGAAGGCUCUGGGCGAGGAGUCCGAUGCCCAGCUGGUGCCCGCGGGCACCCAGCCACCGCGCGAGGGGGGCCAGCCCGAGCCUCUCAGCAUCCCGCGGGCCUUUAAGUCCAAAGAGCAGCUGAUGCUGAGGGCCAACAGCCUGAAGAAGGCCGUGCGGCAGAUCAUAGAGCAGGCCGAGAAAGUGGUGGAUGAACAGAACAGGCACACUCAAGUGUACCACAUGGCCUCCACCUCCUCAAUGAAGAUGGAGAACAAUGAGGACCUGAAGGAGGCAGACACAGGACAUGGAACCACAAGCUCCUCCACCUCCACCAUUGUCCUGCAGAAAUCAGAAAGCUUCGGCUCUGUGCUGCUCUCCGAUGACUCUGUACUGUGCACUGAAAAGUGUGUUAUGAACAAUUACUUUGGGAUUGGACUGGAUGCAAAGAUCUCCCUGGAGUUCAACAACAAGAGAGAUGUGCACCCCAAGAAGUGCAGCAGUCGCACCAAGAACAUGAUGUGGUACGGGGUGCUGGGGACCAAAGAGCUGGUGCAGAAGACGUAUAAGAACCUGGAGCAGCGGGUGCACCUGGAGUGUGACAGCGUGCCUAUGUGUCUGCCAAGCCUGCAGGGUUUGGCCGUUCUCAACAUCCCCAGCUAUGCAGGGGGCAUCAACUUCUGGGGCGGGACCAAGGAGGACAACAAUUUCGGGGCUCCCUCCUUCGAUGACAAAAAGCUGGAGGUGGUGGCGGUCUUCGGCAGCAUGCAGAUGGCGAUGUCCCGCGUCAUCAAUCUGCAGCACCACCGAAUCGCCCAGUGCCGGCAGGUGAAAAUCACCAUCCUGGGGGAGGAGGGCGUACCCGUGCAGGUGGACGGCGAGGCCUGGAUCCAGCCACCCGGAAUCGUCAAGAUCGUCCACAAGAACCGGGCCCAGAUGCUCACCAGAGACCGGGCCUUCGAGAGCACGCUGAAGUCGUGGGAAGACAAGAGGAAGUGCGACAGCUACCGCUCCUCCCGUCCGCGCCUCAACUCCCAGCAGUCCAUGGAGUACCUGACGGAGGAGGAGGGCGUCCAGGUGAAGCAGCUGGGGCAGGCGGCCGACGCACUGAUCGCCAGAAUCAGGGAAGCAGCAAAGACCCACAUGGUAAUGGAGCAGGAGCUGGCCCAUGCGGUCAACGCCAGCGCACUGAUCCUGAGCGAGGCCUUCUCCAGCAAACCUACCAGUCCUGAGUAUCUGAGUCGGACUGCUGUUGUGGACAUUGUCAAUAGCACCAAGGUUCUACAGCAGGAGACCAGAAUACUUUUAGAUGGGAAGCUUCUGCAGCUGGAGCCCCCCCAGGAGGAGGCGCUGCUCUCUGCUCUGAAUAGCCUGAGCGCCGAGCUGCAGAGGCUGGGAGAAAUCCACUGGAUCUGCCCCAUCAUACACUGCUCCGAAGAGGAGGAGCUUUCCAAGGGCAACCGUAAGAGCAGCAUAAAGAUGAAGAUCAUGCAGAAAAGCAAGAAGGAGCGAGAGAAGCUGCACAAGCAGAAAUCCAACAGUUCCUUGUCCUCUCUGUCGGGUAAGGGAACCAUUCCUCUGUUUAUCUAACAGUGAGCGGUGCCAGAGUUACAAUACAGACAGAGCAGCAAUCACAAGAUUCCUUCUCUUCCACAUAAGCCGUUUCCUUCUGAAUGUACUAGUGAAUUUACUGCGAAUCAUUAAAAUCCACCACUUUAUGCGCAUAGAUAGCAUGCACCAGGACAGGUGUUUCUGAAUCACCUUUUCUCUGGAAAAGUGGUAUGGAGUGAUUUGAGCAGGCUCCACACAGUACAGCCGGUGUACUGAAUGGUUGAUUUCUCUAGUGCAGCUCAAGUGCACAAUAUGGUUUGUUUCCAUUUACUUUUGUUUGCCUGUAAACAAGCUAUUUUUGUAUUUUCUCAAACUCAUUAAAACACUUUACUUGUAUAAUGUAAAUUGUCCAUUAUGGCCCAAAAAUGGUCUUUAGAGCAUUUACACAACAUUAGAAAUAGGCAUUCUAGAAUUGCAUAAAUCAACACAAAUCAAAAUAUAACAAAAAAUUUAAAGUGCUUUUGCUUUACAACAGAAGCAUAAGAAACAGCCUCAUUAGAUCCGCAUCACAUAGCUUCCUGUUACAGUUUAACUUUAGAAUCAUAUAUAGCUUCCUGUUACUGGUUGACCUCAAAAGGCCCUUCUCCUGAAAGAGUACUGCUCAGAGUUAUGCUGCUGUUUCUCUUCUAUGCUAUACAACUGGAUGAACUAAGGACCAGGACCUUGGGAUUUCAAAGGUGGGGCAUCUGAAGCGAAUUCAACAGGCCAUUAAGGAACUGAGCUCAGAGCCCUAAUGUCACCUGCCGAGUUGGCGUUCACCUGUGAGGAGCAUCUGGGCCUGUAUCUCCGCCCCUUUCUCAGACAGGAAGCAGCUCCUGGUGGACUGAACAUGAACAGCGGAACCUCUUUCCCUCUUUGUCUUUUGUUGCUCAUAUUUCCUCCGCCUUCAGAGAUGUGGCACGUGUUCAAAGCCAAUGGCGAUGGUGCAGGGGGGUCUCAGUCUUCGGUAAUUUUAAUCUUAGCUCCAGCUUUACGGCCGCCUGCAAGAACAUAAGAUGACAGACUAGACUUUUAUUGAGCGGUUUUGAACAAAAAGAAACAAGUCUGAAUGUAAAAGGACAGCUCGCCUUUUCCCAUAACCACAAAAUCAAUACGUAGAAACCCGUUUGUACAUACAGACCUUCAGAAAAGGCAAGCAACAAUGCCUUUAUAAACAGCAUCUUGAGGAGCGUACUUGCUGGUAAUGUGUUCUUUUUUGUAUAAAUGGCCUUACGGCAAACAAAUUCCAUCCAGCUACUUAUUGAGGCCCCCUUUGACAUUACGCGAUGCAUGGCUUCUCUGCUCAGUGGCGUCACAGCAGAAACGGGUUUUAUGUAUUUGCUCAGGCAGGUAGUAGUCUCAAAUGUAUAACUAGUGUCCUAGAAGAGCUCUUGAUAAGUGCUUUGUGCUUGUGCCAAUGUUGUGCUAAGCACAGUGGACUAUGAUACUGGAAGAAUGUAUGUUUUGCGUUUAAGUUGUACUAUGUUGCACUUUAAGACUUAAAAAGGUUCAUAUAAAUUUAUAGAAAAACUCUAUUAUUACAUUUCUUCAUUAUUGCUUCUUUAUGGGAAGUAUAUAAAGGAUACACAAUGCGUUUAAUCAAAAUAUAACAUUCAGAGGUACUAAUGUGCUACUAUUUUAUUUUUAACUUGAAGAAUCUUCUAUAGUUUAUGAUGAGCAUAAAAUAGUCAGAAGCUGGUGUGAUAUUAAUAAUGGCUGUGUUCUGCCAUUAAAGUCAACCAAACGUACUGUGAUGCGAUCAGGUCUAAACAUCAAAAGAAAAUAAUGUAAGACACAAAAUGAUGUAUUUAAGGAUUUUAUGAGCCAAAGUGAAACUGACGUAGUGCAUGAGGUAACGAAUUGGUACAUUCCAGUUGCAUAUAUUACAAUGUAAGUCAUGACAUUCCUUAAAAAAACAACAAAAAACAAACAAAAAACAUUGUACAAAGCUAUUGGGGCUGGUGUAGGAUUGAUAAAGUAACAAUGAAUGACCUCACACUGUUUUAUAUGUUCCCAAAGAAAUUAUUGUAUGAAAUAAAAAUGUAUAAAAUAAAUUGGCCUUUGUCAGGUAUAACUAAAUGGCCUUUGUCUGGCCAAAACUAUGUGGACACCUGACACAAAAAUUAUGGGCAUUAAUAUGGAGUUGAUCCACCCUUUGCUGCUAUAACAACCACCACAUUUUCUUAUACUAGAUGUUGGAGCAUUGCUGCAGGGAUUUGCUUCCAUUCAGCCAGAAAAGCAUUAGUGGGAUCCGGCACUGAUUGGGCGAUUAGGCCUGACUCGCAUGUGGCUUUCCAAGAGUGUUGGAUGCGGUUGAGGUCAGGGCUCUGUGCAAGCCAGUCAAGUUCUUCCACACCAUUGUUGACAAAAUCACUUCAAUGUGGACCUCGCUGUGUGCCUGGGGGGCAUUGCAUUGCUGAAACAGGAAAGGCCGUUCCCCAGACUAUUGGGGAAACACAGAAUCAUUUAGAACAUGAUUGUAUGCUGUAGCAUUAAGAUUUGUCUUCACUGGAACGAAGGAGCUUAGCCCAAAUCAUGACUAAACAGCCCCAGACCAAGGGGUGUCCAGAUACUUAUGGUCAUGUGGUGUAGCUAUAUCUGACAAAGACCAUUGUAUGUCAAAAUGUGGUUGACUCCAAUGCUUUUUUUUAACAGUUUGUAAAACGGUACGUGGGAAUUCCUUUCCUCCUUACAAUUCCUUACAGAUUUAGCAUAUUAAAGCCCUGUUAUUUUUGUUUUUAUCAUUGUGUUUAACUGGAAAGAUUUUGGGAUAAAUUUCACCAGCAGAGGUAUACUUGUGACAAUCGCAAUUACCUUUAAUCCAACACUGAUGCAACAUUCAUGUAGAAAUGGGGAAAAAAAGGAAAGUCCUUUUGUAUAUUAAAACACAAGUAAUGCGAAAAUAGUGGGGCUUACACAAUUCUCAGAACGGUGUUGAAUAAUACACAUAUUCAAUUGUCAAAUACUUACUGCCAUUUCAGUUAAUGUAUUACACAGUUUACCAAGGUGGAAUGUAUUUUUUAAAUUUCAAUGUUGUCAUUACUGGUCUUUUCUGGUAUUGAAGAAUAACAGGAACUCUUCAUAUUCUUUAAAUCUUCAAUAUGAGAUCACCAGUUACACUGUAAAAGUCUUGUUGACUGGAGGUUUGACUGGGUUUGCAAAAUCAGGAAGCUUGCUGUGGCUAAAGAAAUGUCUCAAACGCUGUUGAUGUUCUAUGUUGAAUAUUAUUUACAGGUGUUGAAAAAAUACUUUGCAGGAUUAAUAUUUAUUUAUGAAUGUACUUUUGGAAUUCUCUUUGAGAAACAUUCAGAAUGCUCAUUGUUAUUUUUCUGUUUAACAAGACAAUAUCCACUGCAGAACCCAAUGAAAACAAAGUAAAAAAUAAAGUGUUGGAAUUUUUUUUUUCAGAUGGCUUUACACUACGGUGAAUAACAUCAACUGCACAAACAUUACUAGGAAAAUGGUGCAGUAAACACAAAAACAUCCACAUCUGCCCCCUGAAGAAUGUUUCUGAUCAGUCAGACGAGUGUUUCCUUAUUAUGGUGAGAAUUCUUCAGUCAUAAACUGUAGAGUUCUUCCUUAGCCUAGCAGGCCCAAUAACUCACCAGACCCAAACGGUUGAUUUUGGUAGGCCUUUAGGUUUGGCCCAAGUGUCUCACUGUUUUUUUUCUUCAUAUUUCUCAGCCUCAUAAUGGCAUCCUUGACUUUCAGUGGUACAACUCUGUUUUUGGCGUUAGUCAGCAUAAGGACCAGACUUCAGAGGUAAUCAAAAGCCUAGUUUCAAGACUAGAUACUGAAUAUUAAGGAAUCCAGUUAAUUCCUGUUCACUAAAACCAUAAAGCAGCUAAGAGAUGUUCGAAAGUAUACUGACAAAUUAUUAGGUACCUUUAAUGUAUCCUUUAUUCAUUUGGUUAAUCUCUUAUUAAAAGUCUUUGGUAAUACACCCACAAUGGUAUGAGCAUGAUGGUACAGGGUUGUUAAAAACACUGAAGUACAUUGGACAUGGAUAUGAUCACGUCCAUUCACUAUGUAGUUCAAACCGUACUGUUAUAUAUAUAUUUUCCGUCUCAAUCACUUAACCUGGGAAUGUGGUCGAAAACAGAAAUACAUUCUUGGAUAUGAGUUACCCUUGUAUGCUCUUCUCAUAGGGAUCAUUACUGUAUUGGUUAUGAUUGUCUGCACUCAUUUUAUACUGAACAAUGAUUUGGAUAAACUGACUAGUCUUUCUGUUCUGGCCAUGACAGCUUUUUUCCUUCCUCCUCUUUCAUGUUUCAGCAUUGAAGUUAAUUUUCCUCACAAUACUGAAAAAAUGGCAUCUUCCCUUCCCAUCACAACGAUUUUCUUUUUUUAAAUUAUUAAUGCAAUGGUAAUAAACAGAAAAUUACUCACCAGUACAUGGAA
Anguilla rostrata (American eel) is the source of this 8037-nucleotide RNA transcript. It is a transcript of the gene named diacylglycerol kinase delta-like, with no coding region annotated. The transcript has 30 exons. NCBI's taxonomy places the organism in Eukaryota, Metazoa, Chordata, Actinopteri, Anguilliformes, Anguillidae. The record is from RefSeq and is a predicted model, not a curated record.